GUGGGGAAUCUUGCGCAAUGGGCGAAAGCCUGACGCAGCCAUGCCUCGUGUAUGAUGAAGGUCUUAGGAUUGUAAAAUACUUUCACCGGUGAAGAUAAUGACUGUAGCCGGAGAAGAAGCCCCGGCUAACUUCGUGCCAGCAGCCGCGGUAAUACGAAGGGGGCUAGCGUUGCUCGGAAUUACUGGGCGUAAAGGGAGCGUAGGCGGACAUUUAAGUCAGGGGUGAAAUCCCAGAGCUCAACUCUGGAACUGCCUUUGAUACUGGAUGUCUUGAGUGUGAGAGAGGUGUGUGGAACUCCGAGUGUAGAGGUGAAAUUCGUAGAUAUUCGGAAGAACACCAGUGGCGAAGGCGACACACUGGCUCAUUACUGACGCUGAGGCGCGAAAGCGUGGGGAGCAAACAGGAUUAGAAACCCGUGUAGUCC
This 425-nucleotide ribosomal RNA is filed under the name uncultured bacterium. Its description in RNAcentral is "partial 16S ribosomal RNA". It matches the Rfam family "Bacterial small subunit ribosomal RNA", at positions 354 to 796 of the family's 1533-position model. The record is from RNAcentral.